Molecule: ribosomal RNA, 467 nt
Filed under: uncultured bacterium
Lineage: Bacteria
Description: partial 16S ribosomal RNA
Rfam family: Bacterial small subunit ribosomal RNA
Source: RNAcentral
GACGAACGCUGGCGGCGUGCUUAACACAUGCAAGUCGAACGGAAAGGCCCUGCUUUUGUGGGGUGCUCGAGUGGCGAACGGGUGAGUAACACGUGAGUAACCUGCCCUUGACUUUGGGAUAACUUCAGGAAACUGGGGCUAAUACCGGAUAGGAGCUCCUGCUGCAUGGUGGGGGUUGGAAAGUUUCGGCGGUUGGGGAUGGACUCGCGGCUUAUCAGCUUGUUGGUGGGGUAGUGGCUUACCAAGGCUUUGACGGGUAGCCGGCCUGAGAGGGUGACCGGCCACAUUGGGAGUCGGAUACGGCCCAGACUGCUACGGGAGGCAGGAGUGGGGAAUAGUGGACAAGGGGCGGAAGCCUGAUGCAGCAACGCCGCGUGCGGGAUGACGGCCUUCGGGUUGUAAACCGCUUUCGCCUGUGACGAAGCGUGAGUGACGGUAAUGGGGAAAGAAGCACCGGCAAACUACGU